This is a long non-coding RNA of Dermochelys coriacea (leatherback sea turtle), 1310 nucleotides long. RefSeq lists it as uncharacterized. NCBI's taxonomy places the organism in Eukaryota, Metazoa, Chordata, Testudines, Dermochelyidae. The transcript is spliced from 4 exons. The record is from RefSeq and is a predicted model, not a curated record.
CACUGCAGAGGUAAAGAACUUGCUUUACAUUUUCUAAAAGCAAAAUGAAAAAGGAGACUAACAAAGGUGUUUGAGCAUAAAUUUGCUAGUCUAAGAUGCCACAAGUACUCCUUUUCCUUUUGCGAUCACAGACUAACACGGCUGCUACUCUGAAACCUGUCAUUCUAAAAGCAAAAUGGUUAAACUGAAGUUUGUUAUAAUUUGGAUUAUGAAAUCUUAAAACAACUGGUAUGAUUUCCAAAAGUCACUGAACUCAGUGGCACCAGUCCCACUGACUUUCAGCAGGACUUGUGCCCUUCUACAGGAUCAAGCACUUCUGAAAAUUCCACCCAGUCUAUUUCAGUCAAGCUCCAAGGUACUUUAAAUCCAGUUAAUAGAUAUUGGGUUCUCUGCACCGAAAAAAAGUUAGAGGGGCAUUAUUAUGCCCAUCUAUGUAAGAGUUCUUAGCAUACAAGACUGCAGCUCACCAGAAAUCAUUAACAUGUUUUCUCCAUUAGACUGGUUGAAUGUUAGCUACCAAGGCAUCCCUAUUUUAAGUUGUACCAUUUCCGCAUCUUGUUACUAUUCUGUUGAUACUGCAGCAGAUUCUUACAAUACCAUAACUGAGUACAGCUGGUUAGAGACAACAUAUCUGCUCCAUUUGACAUUAUGCACUAUAGGUCUCUGCCAUUUAAGGGUAAAGCAACUUGUUCUAGUGUAAAAUUGCUCUUUACCUGUCCACCACCUGUUUGUGGACUUCUUUCCAGUGCUCUUUGUCUGUAUCAGUUCCUAGGUCUGGGUGCAGAGCCUUCAGGGAAACACCAGCAACAUUAACCCCACUCCAGACAGGUACUAAGAAAUACACAAAAUUAAUGAGUUACUUCACAGUAGAGCAGUUAUCCAUCCACCAGACAAAUCCUAAUUUCAUGCCACCCAAAUAUAAACUGACAAUUAUCACACCUGGUAGAGUGAAUCUGUUGCCGUACAAGUGCCACUGUGGUUUUGAUGUAUGAAUUUAACUUUUUUUAAUGUUUGUAUCUCUUACAGGAUUAAAAUAAGUCUUGUGAACCUAGUCCUGUUUGAGUGUCUGAGCCAGUUUCUUUAUUUGGCAUAUCAAAGUUAAAGGUGGUCAGUUUGGGUUUUUUAUUGGUCAAGGAAUGACUUGACAAUAAGGGACUAUUUAGAUAGCUUUAUGAGGGGCUGGGGAGGUGAGAAGGGAAAGCAAUUUUGAAGUCUCUCGUUCCCAGACAAUGCUGUUUCAAUCACUUGAAGGUGUGUUGAACAAAAAACACUCCUAGGUACUCCUGGCCUAGGUCUGCAAUUCAGUUACU